UCCAGCCUGGGUGACAGAGCAAGACUCCAUCUCAAAAGAAAAAAAAGUCCCAAAUCCCACAUGCCUGCUCUGAAAGUUAUUCUCAAAUUGUUUUUAAACUUUAAGAUGUGAAAAAGGAGGCCCAAAGAGAACUCAAGCAAUUUGCCCUAAAUCAUAUCCCUAGCAGAUGGAGAGGUAGGAUUCGAACCCAGAAUUCUUAACCAGUACCCGACAGUUCUUCCACAAUCUUAACAAUUACCCUCUACUGCCCUUUGGGCCCCCUGCCCUCAGGAGCCUGGUCAGCCAAGACUCACAUCCCCAGAGAAUCAAGCGAAACUGAUGCUUCAGAAAGAUGCCCCAUAUUUAUCCUGUGCCACGCAAAGUACCCUAGGUUGACAUGAGAU
Molecule: long non-coding RNA, 383 nt
Organism: Homo sapiens (human)
Lineage: Eukaryota; Metazoa; Chordata; Mammalia; Primates; Hominidae
Exons: 3
Source: RefSeq, a predicted model, not a curated record